UACAGAGGUGGCAAGCGUUGUUCGGAAUUACUGGGCGUAAAGCGCGUGUAGGCGGCUCUUCAAGUCAGUCGUGAAAUCGCUGGGCUCAACCCAUGCAAUUGCGAUUGAUACUGUUAGACUUGAAUGGGGUUGAGGCUGGCGGAAUGCGACAUGUAGCGGUGAAAUGCUUAGAUAUGUCGCAGAACACCGAUUGCGAAGGCAGCCAGCUGGGCCUUUAUUGACGCUGAGGCACGAAAGCGUGGGGAGCAAACAGGAUUAGAAACCCGUGUAGU
This 272-nucleotide ribosomal RNA is filed under the name uncultured bacterium. RNAcentral's name for it is "partial 16S ribosomal RNA". It matches the Rfam family "Bacterial small subunit ribosomal RNA", at positions 524 to 794 of the family's 1533-position model. The record is from RNAcentral.